AGCAGCCGCGGUAAUUCCAGCUCCAAUAGCGUAUAUUAAAGUUGUUGCAGUUAAAAAGCUCGUAGUUGAAUUUCGGGGUCAGUAGGUCGGUCGUGCCACUGGUAUGAACUGGUUUUACUGAUUCCUCCCUCUUGAAGAACUGUAAUGCCAUUAAUUUGGUGUUGCAGGGAAUCAGGACUGUUACUUUGAAAAAAUUAGAGUGUUUAAAGCAGGCUUUAGCUUGAAUACAUUAGCAUGGAAUAAUGAAAUAGGACGUUUGAUCCUAUUUUGUUGGUUUCUAGGAUUGACGUAAUGAUUAAUAGGGAUAGUUGGGGGCAUUAGUAUUCAAUUGUCAGAGGUGAAAUUCUUGGAUUUAUUGAAGACUAACUACUGCGAAAGCAUUUGCCAAGGAUGUUUUCAUUAAUCAAGAACGAAAGUUAGGGGAUCGAAGACGAUCAGAUACCGUCGUAGUCUUAACCAUAAGCUAUGCCGACUAGGGAUCGGAUGAUGUUAAUUUUUUAAUGACUCA
Molecule: ribosomal RNA, 508 nt
Filed under: Glomus sp. Glo3
Lineage: Eukaryota; Fungi; Glomeromycota; Glomeromycetes; Glomerales; Glomeraceae
Description: SSU rRNA
Rfam family: Eukaryotic small subunit ribosomal RNA
Source: RNAcentral